AGUGUCUGGACCUGCUGGUGUGUCUCCGCCAUGUGUUUUCUGAUGUUGGAUGAUAAACAUGCAAAUGUUCGCCAGCGCUCCUCGCUGCUGGCUUGCUGCUUUGUGUCACACUGUCUGCUCAUGACAGUUCAUGCUUCCUCUCCCUCGCUUUUUCUUCUCUUUUCGUGGCACACUGUCUUUCUAAACUCCUCCUUCUCUCUCUUCCUCCUCUCACUACAGCAUGUCCCCUCCCUUCCUCCUUCAAUGUCCUCCCCACACCACAACCCUCCGCCGCCCGACUCUGCCCUCCCUUUUCUCUGCUUCCCUCUUGGCAGCGGUGCCAAAGUGGGCAGGCAGACGGAGGCAAACGCAUCACAGGGCAGAGCAGAGGGCAAAUCAAAGGCUGGCGAAUUGAUCAUGUGUGUGUUUGUGUUUUGGACUGUCCUCUCUCUCUCUCUCUUUCUCUGCGUGUCUGUGCGCAAGUUCUCCUGUGGUCAUACGCACUGCAAGUAAGGGCUGUGUGAGAGCUGACGUCCCUCUGUUACUCUUUGUAUGGACGGACGUACUCACGCCAGUAGGAGGGGAUUGUGGGAAAGGGGGUGUAGCUCUCAGAGGGUGCGCUCUACUCCUCUUGCUUCCCUUCUUCCCGCCAUCACGGCCCUCUUUUCAGCCAGUCGUCCUGCCCAGCCGGCCCGUCCGCCCGCCUGCCUCACCACACACAGGCCUCAGGAAGAUGACCUUUGUGGAAGUUUGGCGUGGAUGCAGCAUGGAUUGUGUCCUUGGGGCUGAGGUAGUAGAUUGAAUAGUUGUGGGGUUCUUUAGCCUCUUUUUCAGAUAACUAUACAAUCUACUGUCUUUCCCAAGGAGACAGCUGAGUCAACCGAUCGUCAACUGUCGUCUAAAGAUCGGCAUUUAUGAUGCCCCAAAAAUGCAUGCAGUAAUUAAUUUAGCAUGUUUAUUUUUGUAUUUCCCCCCCCGAUAA
Long non-coding RNA from Cyprinodon variegatus (sheepshead minnow), 961 nucleotides. RefSeq lists it as uncharacterized. NCBI's taxonomy places the organism in Eukaryota, Metazoa, Chordata, Actinopteri, Cyprinodontiformes, Cyprinodontidae. The transcript is spliced from 3 exons. The record is from RefSeq and is a predicted model, not a curated record.